Molecule: unclassified non-coding RNA, 117 nt
Organism: Callithrix jacchus (white-tufted-ear marmoset)
Lineage: Eukaryota; Metazoa; Chordata; Mammalia; Primates; Cebidae
Rfam family: Metazoan signal recognition particle RNA
About the family: The signal recognition particle (SRP) is a universally conserved ribonucleoprotein. It is involved in the co-translational targeting of proteins to membranes.
Source: Ensembl
GCCGGGUGUGGUGGCUCACACCUGUAAUCCCAGCACUUUGGGAGGCUGAGGCAGGGGGAUCACUUGAGAUCAGGAGUUUGAGACCAGCCUGGCCAACAUAGUGAAACCCUGUCUCUA